Malurus melanocephalus (red-backed fairy wren) is the source of this 391-nucleotide long non-coding RNA. RefSeq lists it as uncharacterized. The record is from RefSeq and is a predicted model, not a curated record. NCBI's taxonomy places the organism in Eukaryota, Metazoa, Chordata, Aves, Passeriformes, Maluridae. The transcript is spliced from 3 exons.
UGUAGUCUAUGAGUGUCAACUCUUCCCUUCAAGAACAGAUUGUUGACCAUUUUUUUGAGUUUACUGUUGGUGAAGAAGCCAUUUAAAAUAAUUUUAGUAGGGUUGGCUAAAGUCCAUACCAGCUUUUGAAGAAUUGCCUUUAUGGAAUGUUCCCACAGUCCUGACAAAGAGAAGUAAAAAGCAGAAGAUAUUGAGGAAAUACUGGAAUUUUGCCAGGGGCUCCAAGCAUUAUAACAUUUUCUGGGAGUCUAAAAUUCUCCUGUAAAUGAGAAGAUUAAAAAUCUUGAGGGAAGUAAUAUCUUAGAGGAUGAUACCAAAAAGUGUCUGUACCCUUUUCUCCCUUCACUACUUUGGAGAAAGUAAAGGGGUGAGGCAGAGGUGUUUACAACAA